GUACACGCUGUGACUAGCAUAUCAAUAAGCGGAGGAAAAGAAACUAACAAGGAUUCCCCUAGUAACGGCGAGUGAAGCGGGAAGAGCUCAAAUUUGAAAUCUUAAAGGGUUUCCCUUUACGAAUUGUAGUUUAAAGAAGUGUUUUCUGUUGAGGUUUUGGUAAAAGUUCUUUGGAAUAGGACAUCAUAGAGGGUGAGAAUCCCGUAUUUGACCUUUACUUUCAACUUUGUGAUACACUUUCAAAGAGUCGGAUUGUUUGGGAAUGCAGUCCUAAAUGGGUGGUAAAUUUCAUCUAAAGCUAAAUAUUGGCGAGAGACCGAUAGCGAACAAGUACCGUGAGGGAAUGAUGAAAAGAACUUUGAAAAGAGAGUUAAACAGUACGUGAAAUUGUCAAAAGGGAAGCGUUUGACACCAAUGUUGUUUUUCUGAAAAUCAAUUAAAGAACUGUUUAUGCUAAGUUGUUUAGACUUUAUCAGCCUAACUGUUUAGUUUUGAGCUUUUCUUUAAUGCACUUUUCAGUUAGCAAGUCAACAUCAAUUUCAUUUUGCUGUAAAAAAGCUUGAGGAAGGUGGCUUGAGAUUCGUCUUAAGUGUUUAUAGCCUCUUGCCUAUGCAGUCGGAGAGAUUGAGGUCUGCAGCGUAGAUCCUUCGGGGCUAAAUGCAUUUGUGCUAAGUUAUAGCAUUUUAUAGACAACUUGUUGACUAUGAUUUGUCUUGUAGCUUACUCGCUUAUGUUAUUUUACCUACGCUUAGGAUGUUGAAGAUGUAGCACAUCAU
RNAcentral lists this ribosomal RNA (776 nucleotides) under uncultured Neocallimastigales. Its description in RNAcentral is "partial large subunit ribosomal RNA". It matches the Rfam family "Eukaryotic large subunit ribosomal RNA", at positions 22 to 635 of the family's 3401-position model. Lineage: Eukaryota; Fungi; Neocallimastigomycota; Neocallimastigomycetes; Neocallimastigales. The record is from RNAcentral.